AGAUGGCGCGGCUUAAAUUAAUUCAUUUCGAUUCUGUGCCGCUUUUAACAUGAGUAGGAUCGCGGGGGAAGUUACGUGCAAAAACAGGCUUGUUUCCUACAUCACCUACAAUGCUGUUCAACUGCCUGCCAACUGUGGGGCUUGGGGAAAUUUAGCCCGACCUGAAGUGACUAAUAUAGCAGCACUUUGAUCUGUCCUAGUACCUGAAGGUGCUGUAUGGUUUCCAGAAGCAAAAUCAUCUACAAUCACUUUGACAAACCUUGGAAUUGUGUUAAAUUGAACUGUGGCAGGAUUCAACUCAAGACAACACAAUUCAUAUCUUCCUGCUUCAAAGACUUUUGCCAUGUCAGUUUUGUGCACCACUGCAUGCUGUAAAAGAUGGACCAUAAAAUGCUGAAAAUAUUUGGCAAUGAGGAAAUGUCUGAUAUUGAAGUCUUUUGUCUUUCAGGAGUACUGAAAUAUAAUACAGUAUUAACUAUUA
Long non-coding RNA from Clarias gariepinus (North African catfish), 481 nucleotides. RefSeq lists it as uncharacterized. The transcript is spliced from 2 exons. NCBI's taxonomy places the organism in Eukaryota, Metazoa, Chordata, Actinopteri, Siluriformes, Clariidae. The record is from RefSeq and is a predicted model, not a curated record.